UGAGAAUGAUUUGGAAGGGUAUCCUAAGGUCCCCAUAACUCCACGGCUGAAAACCAAAAGGGGACCCUAAAUCCUAUUCCUCUCAUUUCUCUCAUCUCUCUUACAAGGUGGCGGCGGUAGCGGCAGGAGAUGGCGGCAUCGGUUUGGAAUUGGUCCAACUAACCAAAACCUCUUCUUCCCCGUUCCACUUCUUAAUGAUUCAAAGGGAAUCGAAUCCCUAAAUUAUCUCCUUCAUCCUCUUCUUUUCCGGCAGCGGCAGCAACAAAAGGGAUGACGGCAAGUCGCCGAUCCGGAGACUACAUCUCUUCUCCUCUAUCUCGUUUCUCCUUAGCGACGGUGGUGCUCUCUCCGGUGACGGUUUCGGUAGCAACGACUUCUUUGGUCUGGGUGUGAAGGACGACCCAUCAUGGUGAUUUCUGGGUCCAACGAGGCGCAUUAGCAUCAACACCAUCUCAAAGUUGUCAUUUCGUCUUUGAAGCGAUCGAUUCGAGGCGAGAGCACACGACUUUGGCUUUUGAAGAUAGAGGAAAGGUGAAGAGAGUCACCCUUUCAAAGUGGUAGCCUCUGACCACGGCGGUGACGCGUGAGGUAUAUAUCAAAUGCCGAUGAUUUUCUGUCUUCAUUGGCUUGAAAGCAUCUACUUAUGGUUUGUGAUUCAUUGGAGUUCCAUUUCAUGGAAGGUUUCAUGAGAAUGUUGAUCAUAUCAUAUAGAAGCAUGGGAUGAAGUGUUAUGCUUAUGCUUUUGAAGAGCAACAACGAAAUUUUUAAUAUGUUUAUCAUAGAGACCCUUGGAACUGAGGAAAAAUCAACAUAAUGGCUGUUUUGUCCUCAUACUUUGAAAGUUGGUGGUUCUGUGGGAGCUUAGUGCCAAAAGCUAAUAAAAUUGGUUGCUUCCCAAAUGAAGUUGUGGUUUGAAGCUGAAAUGCCAAAUACAUUACAGCUCCAUUUGUUGCCACAGCCGCAGCAGGCACAUUAUUUAGUGGAGGUUGUUGUUGAUUGUUAGGUAUAGUGGUUGGUACUAUAAGUAUUAGACUCCCAAAGAAGGACAAUCAAGUAGAACCAAUUUUGAAUGAAUCUGCAGUCUAUCGGAAUGUAUAACCAUGUUAUGGCAUAUAAAUAUUUGCAGCUAUCUUGUAGUUUUUUUUUAUUUUCUGUAAGUUGAUAAUGAAAUUUUUUAUGCUUAUUAACUAGGC
Non-coding RNA from Lupinus albus (white lupine), 1193 nucleotides. The record is from the annotation of a GenBank genome assembly. NCBI's taxonomy places the organism in Eukaryota, Viridiplantae, Streptophyta, Magnoliopsida, Fabales, Fabaceae.